Molecule: ribosomal RNA, 519 nt
Filed under: uncultured bacterium
Lineage: Bacteria
Description: bacterial SSU rRNA
Rfam family: Bacterial small subunit ribosomal RNA
Source: RNAcentral
GUUUGAUCAUGGCUCAGGAUGAACGCUAGCGGCAGGCUUAAUACAUGCAAGUCGAACGGUAAGUGUUGUAGCAAUAUAGCACGAGAGUGACGUACGGGUGCGUAACACGUAUGCAACCUACCUUGUACAGGGGUAUAGCUCGGGGAAACUCGAAUUAACACCCCAUAAUAUAAUUGGAUGGCAUCAUCUGAUUAUUAAAACUCCGGUGGUACAAGAUGGGCAUGCGUCUGAUUAGUUAGUUGGCGGGGUAAUGGCCCACCAGGACGAUGAUCAGUAGGGGACCUGAGAGGGUGAUCCCCCACACUGGCACUGAGAUACGGGCCAGACUCCUACGGGAGGCAGCAGUAGGGAAUAUUGGUCAAUGGAUGAAAGUCUGAACCAGCCAUGCCGCGUGCAGGAAGAAGGCGUUAUGCGUUGUAAACUGCUUUUGCCAGGGAUAAAAUGAGCGUGCGCGCUUAAUUGAAGGUACCUGGUGAAUAAGCCACGGCUAACUACGUGCCAGCAGCCGCGGUAAUACCU